This 253-nucleotide ribosomal RNA is filed under the name uncultured bacterium. RNAcentral describes it as "partial 16S ribosomal RNA". It matches the Rfam family "Bacterial small subunit ribosomal RNA", at positions 524 to 776 of the family's 1533-position model. The record is from RNAcentral.
GACGUAGGAUGCAAGCGUUGUCCGGAUUCAUUGGGCGUAAAGAGCUCGUAGGCGGCUGCUCAAGUCGAAUGUGAAAACUCGAGGCUCAACCUCGAGCCUGCAUUCGAUACUGGGCGGCUAGAGUCUGGUAGGGGGAUCUGGAAUUCCUGGUGUAGCGGUGGAAUGCGCAGAUAUCAGGAGGAACACCGGUGGCGAAGGCGGCGACCUGGUCCUGGACUGACGCUGAGGCGCGAAAGCGUGGGGAGCAAACAGG